Molecule: ribosomal RNA, 253 nt
Filed under: uncultured bacterium
Lineage: Bacteria
Description: partial 16S ribosomal RNA
Rfam family: Bacterial small subunit ribosomal RNA
Source: RNAcentral
UACGAAGGGGGCGAGCGUUGUUCGGAUUUACUGGGCGUAAAGGGCGCGUAGGCGGCCGAUCAAGUCAGGCGUGAAAGCCCCGGGCUCAACCUGGGAAUGGCGCUUGGGACUGGUUGGCUUGAGUUCGGGAGAGGAGAGUGGAAUUCCCAGUGUAGAGGUGAAAUUCGUAGAUAUUGGGAAGAACACCGGUGGCGAAGGCGGCUCUCUGGACCGAGACUGACGCUGAAAACCGAAAGCUAGGGGAGCAAACGGG